Molecule: ribosomal RNA, 253 nt
Filed under: uncultured bacterium
Lineage: Bacteria
Description: partial 16S ribosomal RNA
Rfam family: Bacterial small subunit ribosomal RNA
Source: RNAcentral
UACAGAGGGUGCGAGCGUUAAUCGGAAUUACUGGGCGUAAAGCGUGCGUAGACGGCUAUCUAAGUCGGGUGUGAAAGCCCCGGGCUCAACCUGGGAAUUGCAUUCGAGACUGAAUAGCUAGGGUACGGUAGAGGGAAGUGGAAUUUCCGGUGUAGCGGUGAAAUGCGUAGAGAUCGGAAAGAACACCAACGGCGAAAGCACUCUGCUGGGCCGACACUGACACUGAGAGACGAAAGCUAGGGGAGCGAAUGGG